AUGAACGCUGGCGGCGUGCCUAAUACAUGCAAGUCGAGCGAACAGACGAGGAGCUUGCUCCUCUGACGUUAGCGGCGGACGGGUGAGUAACACGUGGAUAACCUACCUAUAAGACUGGGAUAACUUCGGGAAACCGGAGCUAAUACCGGAUAAUAUAUUGAACCGCAUGGUUCAAUAGUGAAAGACGGUUUUGCUGUCACUUAUAGAUGGAUCCGCGCCGCAUUAGCUAGUUGGUAAGGUAACGGCUUACCAAGGCAACGAUGCGUAGCCGACCUGAGAGGGUGAUCGGCCACACUGGAACUGAGACACGGUCCAGACUCCUACGGGAGGCAGCAGUAGGGAAUCUUCCGCAAUGGGCGAAAGCCUGACGGAGCAACGCCGCGUGAGCGAUGAAGGUCUUCGGAUCGUAAAACUCUGUUAUUAGAGAAGAACAAAUGUGUAAGUAACUAUGCACGUCUUGACGGUACCUAAUCAGAAAGCCACGGCUAACUACGUG
This 496-nucleotide ribosomal RNA is filed under the name uncultured bacterium. RNAcentral describes it as "partial 16S ribosomal RNA". It matches the Rfam family "Bacterial small subunit ribosomal RNA", at positions 29 to 507 of the family's 1533-position model. The record is from RNAcentral.